CGGGGUAACGGCCCACCAAGCUUCGAUGGAUAGGGGUUCUGAGAGGAAGGUCCCCCACAUUGGAACUGAGACACGGUCCAAACUCCUACGGGAGGCAGCAUG
RNAcentral lists this ribosomal RNA (102 nucleotides) under uncultured bacterium. RNAcentral's name for it is "partial 16S ribosomal RNA". It matches the Rfam family "Bacterial small subunit ribosomal RNA", at positions 253 to 353 of the family's 1533-position model. The record is from RNAcentral.